GACGAACGCUGGCGGCGUGCUUAACACAUGCAAGUCGAACGGAAAGGCCCUGCUUUUGUGGGGUGCUCGAGUGGCGAACGGGUGAGUAACACGUGAGUAACCUGCCCUUGACUUUGGGAUAACUUCAGGAAACUGGGGCUAAUACCGGAUAGGAGCUCCUGCUGCAUGGUGGGGGUUGGAAAGUUUCGGCGGUUGGGGAUGGACUCGCGGCUUAUCGGCUUGUUGGUGGGGUAGUGGCUUACCAUGGUUUUGACGGGUAGCCGGCCUGAGAGGGUGACCGGCCACAUUGGGACUGAGAUACGGCCCAGACUCCUACGGGAGGCAGCAGUGGGGAAUAUUGCACAAUGGGCGGAAGCCUGAUGCAGCAACGCCGCGUGCGGGAUGACGGCCUUCGGGUUGUAAACCGCUUUCGCCUGUGACGAAGCGUGAGUGACGGUAAUGGGUAAAGAAGCACCGGCUAACUACGUG
RNAcentral lists this ribosomal RNA (468 nucleotides) under uncultured bacterium. RNAcentral describes it as "partial 16S ribosomal RNA". It matches the Rfam family "Bacterial small subunit ribosomal RNA", at positions 28 to 507 of the family's 1533-position model. The record is from RNAcentral.